GUUUUAGAGGAAAGAAGCAGACAAUAUACACAACAAAACAAACGUGCUCGCUGGUUUCGCUUCUUGGCAGUGCAGAUGUUCCGAGACACAUCGUAGGUUCUCCAGCGCUCAAGACUUGGGUCUUUUCCCCCCUCAGAUUCUGUAAUUGUGCAGACGAACAUGUAGCAG
This is a long non-coding RNA of Suricata suricatta (meerkat), 168 nucleotides long. RefSeq lists it as uncharacterized. NCBI's taxonomy places the organism in Eukaryota, Metazoa, Chordata, Mammalia, Carnivora, Herpestidae. The transcript has 3 exons. The record is from RefSeq and is a predicted model, not a curated record.